This 273-nucleotide long non-coding RNA is filed under the name Homo sapiens (human). Its description in RNAcentral is "non-protein coding lnc-NSMCE4A-2:1". The record is from RNAcentral. Lineage: Eukaryota; Metazoa; Chordata; Mammalia; Primates; Hominidae.
CUCAUAGCACCUUGAGUCACUGCCUCAUGCUGUUAUGACGCCUUUUGCUUCCACCAUUGCCCUAUCAAUUGCCAGCUUUAUAUACAUCUUUGCUCCUCUCUCUCCAACUCUCAGUGUCUGCUCUCCCAUGUUCUAAUCACUCAUUCUCUAUUCUGCAAAGCACUGUUUUCCAGACAUUAAAGUUUCUGACCCUCUUUCAGACUUUCAGCUACCUACUAUUGAUCCUUCAGGAUGCCUUGGGCUGAUUUCUAAGGCAACCAGAAGCAGUCACAA